AAUGAACGCUGGCGGCAUGCCUUACACAUGCAAGUCGAACGGCAGCAUGACCUAGCUUGCUAGGUUGAUGGCGAGUGGCGAACGGGUGAGUAAUGCAUCGGUACGUGCCUUUUAGUGGGGGAUAACGUAGCGAAAGUUACGCUAAUACCGCAUAUUCUCUGAGGAGGAAAGCAGGGGACCUUCGGGCCUUGCGCUAGAAGAGCGGCCGAUGUCGGAUUAGCUAGUUGGUGAGGCAAAGGCUCACCAAGGCAACGAUCCGUAGCGGGUCUGAGAGGAUGAUCCGCCACACUGGGACUGAGACAAGGCCCAGACUCCUACGGGAGGCAGCAGUGGGGAAUUUUGGACAAUGGGCGCAAGCCUGAUCCAGCCAUGCCGCGUGAGUGAAGAAGGCCUUCGGGUUGUAAAGCUCUUUCGGCUGGGAAGAAAUCGCACCCUCUAAUACAGGGUGUGGAUGACGGUACCAGCAUAAGAAGCACCGGCUAACUACGUG
This 490-nucleotide ribosomal RNA is filed under the name uncultured bacterium. RNAcentral's name for it is "partial 16S ribosomal RNA". It matches the Rfam family "Bacterial small subunit ribosomal RNA", at positions 29 to 507 of the family's 1533-position model. The record is from RNAcentral.